UACGAAGGGGGCAAGCGUUGUUCGGAAUCAUUGGGCAUAAAGGGCGCGUAGGCGGAUUUGUAAGUCGAUUGUGAAAUCCCUGGGCUUAACCCGGGAAUUGCAGUCGAAACUGCAAGUCUUGAAUGCUCGAGAGGAUGGUGGAAUUCCUGGGGUAGUAGUGAAAUACGUAGAUAUCAGGAGGAACACCGGAGGCGAAGGCGGCCAUCUGGCGAGACAUUGACGCUGAGGCGCGAAAGCGUGGGGAGCAAACAGG
Molecule: ribosomal RNA, 253 nt
Filed under: uncultured bacterium
Lineage: Bacteria
Description: partial 16S ribosomal RNA
Rfam family: Bacterial small subunit ribosomal RNA
Source: RNAcentral